UUCGUAGAUUUCUGAUGAGAAGAGUGAGACUGAGGGUGAGAGUGAAAAACUGAUAUUGCUGUUCCUUUGGGGGCAGUGAUUGAAGUGUGAGAGGGAGUCGUGCGGAGACCAAGGGGGAGGUAGAGAGUGAAGUGGAGGUGAGAGAGUGUGAACUGGAGGUAAAGGAGAGUGAAUUGGAGGUGAGAAGAGGUGAAGUGGAGGUGAGAGAGUGUGAACUGGAGGUGAGAGAGAGUGAACUGGAGGUAAAGGAGAGUGAAUUGGAGGUGAGAGAGUGUGAACUGGAGGUGAGAGAGUGUGAACUGGAGGUGAGAGAGAGUGAACUGGAGGUAAAGGAGAGUGAAUUGGAGGUGAGAAGAGGUGAACUGGAGGUGAGAAGAGGUGAACUGGAGGUGAGAGAGUGUGAACUGGAGGUAAAGGAGAGUGAAUUGGAGGUGAGAAGAGGUGAACUGGAGGUAAAGGAGUNAACUGGAGGUAAAGGAGUGCAACUGAAAUUACUAUCCCCUUGGGGACAGUGUUUGAAGUGUGAGAGGGGNNNNNNNNCGGGGUGAGGAUGCGUGCCGAGAAGUACCGGGAAGUCGUGCGAUGACCAGAUGUUGAGUGUGAAGGAGUAUUGAGAUAGUCGUGCGAAGGUCAAGGGUGAUGGGGUGGUGAUGAGGAUGUCGUGCAGAGACCAAGAGGGAUAGGAUUGAGAGUGAAUGUGAGCAGUGUGUAAAAAAUUUUGUGCAUAAAAUUUUGUGCAUAAAAUCUUGUGUGUGUUUGUGUUUGUUUGUGCCUGUGUUUGUGUCCGUAUGCCUGUGUUUGUGUUUGUGCGUAGUGCGGUUUUGUGUUUUGUAUGGCCGAGGGUCGUGUAUUGCCAAAACCUAUUAAAAAGGCCUUCAUUUUGCCCUCUAUAUGAUUUCUCUGGUCGUUAAAAUACCCCCCAGUUGAUACGGUUUGAAAUUCUUAGAUUGUGAUUUUUGGGAGGGGUUUCAAUGUUGCACAGUUUCAAUGCUGCGCGAGAAAUGAAUAUACAAGAAAAAAUUGUGACAGAGUGAGAACUGGUGAAGUGGGAAAUGAAAGGAAAAAUUUUGAAUGGACCCACAAGGACAUAAUAAUUCAAUACACGGCUCUUUUGGUUCAAUGCUUUUGUUUUAAACGUCUUUUUUCGGGCCAUUUUGAUUGACGCUUAGUGGUGGUCAGUAGCGCGCGCACUAAGAAUUCUUUGCGGAUUUUACGCAACUUUUGUUAGACUUUUUCAAAAAGAAUAUUUUUGCAGCAGGCAAACUGCGCGGGUGCAGCAUUUUGCGGCCGGAGGUACUAUAUGAGAGAGAAAUCUCUUAGGAAUAGUGCGUAUGAAAUUCAUACCGCCAUUCCGAUGAAGUGAAUUUAUAUCAACUUUUAGUUCUUAUACCUCCAUUCGGAGGUAUAUCUUUUAGUUGUAUAAAGUCUACUUCUUGGCCCUGCGAUUUAUCGCUCAAGUCUCGGGCUGACAACGUCUCCCCGAGCAAGGUGAAACAGUGGAUUACUAGGCAAUGCCAAGUCCACCAAAACCCAGAUCAUUAGAUCUUUUUGCUACGAGUCAGUGGACAAUCCAGUCUUAAUAACUUCUACAUAGUUAUCUGGUUG
Molecule: unclassified non-coding RNA, 1605 nt
Filed under: Metschnikowia bowlesiae
Lineage: Eukaryota; Fungi; Ascomycota; Pichiomycetes; Serinales; Metschnikowiaceae
Description: partial external transcribed spacer
Source: RNAcentral